GAUGAACGCUGGCGGCGUGCCUAAUACAUGCAAGUCGAGCGAACAGACGAGGAGCUUGCUCCUCUGACGUUAGCGGCGGACGGGUGAGUAACACGUGGAUAACCUACCUAUAAGACUGGGAUAACUUCGGGAAACCGGAGCUAAUACCGGAUAAUAUAUUGAACCGCAUGGUUCAAUAGUGAAAGACGGUUUUGCUGUCACUUAUAGAUGGAUCCGCGCCGCAUUAGCUAGUUGGUAAGGUAACGGCUUACCAAGGCGAUGAUGCGUAGCCGACCUGAGAGGGUGAUCGGCCACACUGGAACUGGGACACGGUCCAGAGUCCUACGGGAGGCAGCAGUAGGGAAUCUUCCGCAAUGGGCGAAAGCCUGACGGAGCAACGCCGCGUGAGUGAUGAAGGUCUUCGGAUCGUAAAACUCUGUUAUUAGGGAAGAACAAAUGUGUAAGUAACUAUGCACGUCUUGACGGUACCUAAUCAGAAAGCCACGGCUAACUACGUG
Molecule: ribosomal RNA, 497 nt
Filed under: uncultured bacterium
Lineage: Bacteria
Description: partial 16S ribosomal RNA
Rfam family: Bacterial small subunit ribosomal RNA
Source: RNAcentral